Selaginella moellendorffii is the source of this 468-nucleotide long non-coding RNA. RefSeq lists it as uncharacterized. The record is from RefSeq and is a predicted model, not a curated record. Lineage: Eukaryota; Viridiplantae; Streptophyta; Lycopodiopsida; Selaginellales; Selaginellaceae. The transcript has 2 exons.
GUGGCCACUAGGGUAGCAGCUCACAGCGCUGCCGCAGCAAUGUGCUAUCCGAUCGAUCGAUCUUGGUCUCGGGUUUAGCUUCUAGAGGCUUCCGGCUUCUCCACAGCUAGUGGUUUCUUCCUCCGGCCUAUGGCACCGCUAGAAAAUCCUCCAAACUGACUCAGCCCAGAUUUAGGAGCAGCAAGAGAUUGCACGAAAGAUCUUGCGUUGGGAGCUCGACCGCAAUUCUGCCUAGCUGCUCUAUCGAAGAUUUGCAAGUCGAGCGUUCAAACAGAGUGCUCAAGAGAUUGAGCUCCGUCCAUAAAUUCAAUCCUUUCUGGGCUCCGACCAAUGUGAUGCCGCGAUUCAAAUUUCUGGCGCUUGGUGCCUCAACAUGGCUUAUGCACAACAAGGGAACUCUUUUGAUUAUAUAUACACAUUUGUGGGCUCAGCUGGAGGCAUUUACAAUAUACAAAUUGAUUUCCUUGU